This 823-nucleotide non-coding RNA is filed under the name Lysmata amboinensis (scarlet cleaner shrimp). The record is from RNAcentral. Lineage: Eukaryota; Metazoa; Arthropoda; Malacostraca; Decapoda; Hippolytidae.
GAUAGUGUUUUAUCCUAGCUCUAUUUCUCUGCUAUAUAAGUAAAUGUACAUGUUAGUUCUUGCGAGUAGUAGUAGUCUUUAAAGAAGAAGAACCUCUUGAAGUCUCAGUGCAUUAAAUUAUGGUAUAAGAUCGUUCUCGACCUAGUUAUCUUAUUACAGCCCAGGCUAAAUUUGUGCCAGCAGCCGCGGUUAGACUGGGUGGUCAAGUAGAGAGAGAUUAGUUUGUGAUUUAAGAGAGAAAAAUUAGUGGGUUGGUCCUGAUUUUCAUUUCUGAAAAGGUGUAAUUUAGUUCUAAAUGGAGAUCAGUAUUACUGUGAAUUGAUCUUGAGGUCACUAAGGUCUUGAUUGAAAACAGGAUUAGAUACCCUGGUAUCCUUGAUUUAAAUUCUUCAAACUAAAGUAGUAACCAGUUAUUAUCUUGAAACUUAAAGGAUUUGGCGGUGUCUUAGUCUAGUUAGAGGAACCUGUUCUGUGAUCGAUGCGCCACGAAGUAUCUCACUUCAUCUUGUAAGGUUUAACAGCCUGUAUACCGCCAUUAUCAGGCAAUCUCAAUAGAGAUGUGUUUAAAUAAAUAAAAAAUUUAGAAAAUUAGGUCAAGGUGCAGCUUAUGAUGAAGGUUGAAAUGGGUUACAAUUUAACAUUGGAAAAACGGAUUAGGACUUGAAAUAGUUUUAUGAAGGUGGAUUUAAAAGUAAGGUUUGUUUAACAUGCAAAUCUGAUUAUCAGCUCUAAGGCGCGUACACAUCGCCCGUCGCUCUCAUUAAAUUAGGUGAGAUAAGUCGUAACAAAGUAGGUGUACCGGAAGGUGCACCUAGAAAGAAAU